This 697-nucleotide unclassified non-coding RNA is filed under the name Leishmania donovani. RNAcentral's name for it is "gene:LdHU3.32.0020(CDS-product:hypothetical_prote in_conserved)". Lineage: Eukaryota; Euglenozoa; Kinetoplastea; Trypanosomatida; Trypanosomatidae. The record is from RNAcentral.
AGAAUCCCCGAGAAACGCCGGCGAAGGCUACACGUGCUGUCAACCACGACAGGUCACCAGGUGCCAACAGCUCUCUUCAGCUCCUUUGUUCAUUGCGCACUCACCAGGGCCCGCGGAAAGGGAGUAACGGUGCAACACCAACGUCGACGGCGCAGAUAAACCAUGCUCCGCUUCACCGCAGUCCGCCGCCUCGGCAGCCCAACGUACGGAAGUUGGCCGUGGCCGUCCAAGCUACCCCUCAAGAAAGACUGGUACUACCGCCUCAGUCGGCGCGAGAGCAUUGCCGAUGAGACGCGGCAGUAUAUGGUAGUCGGGGACUUUCUCCUUUUGUUUGUGCUGAGCUUCUCCAUGUACCGCGUCUACGUGCUGAAUCGCAGCAAUUCCUACCAAACCCAUCUGUGCCACCUAGUGAACUAUCCGCCAGCAAUCAUCGCAAACGAGUUUGACUUCAAUGACAUGAGCGCAAAUCGCGUCGUGGAGAGGAAGGAGUUGGACACGUACCGCGAGAACGUGGUGACAUGCAAAAGCUCUGGUAAGCCCAUCGAAUCCAUAAUCUUUAACUACUAGGCGCUCUGCCGGUUCCACACUGUAGUAGCAACGGUUCUUGUUUCAUUUUUUCGUCUCUAGCAGCGUGUAUUUCUGUUUGUCUCACUCUUCGCUGAGAAUCUGCGAUCGACUUUAUUACACCUCCGCACUC